AAAGAAACAAAAAACAUUUCGCUCAACUCCACUUGCCAGCACUAGACAUCUCCUUGUUUAUGUUACUGGCAUAGAAAAGAUUCAUCAGCCUCCAAAAGCACAUGAGAUUUGCUUCAAACCAUCAAUGUAAGUAUUUAUGGCAAGAUUACAGCUGUUUGAAUUCAAAGGAAGUCUGACCACACUCUUUGUGAAGCUGAUGAUACAAUUUCAAAGUGACUGAGCCUUAUUGAAUUUCAGGAUAUACCAGUGCUAGCAAUAAGCUAGUUUUUGUCAAUGAUAGGAAACUAUAUGAACUGCUGUGGAGCUGUAGAAAACUCAUGCUCAUGUGGAAACUUGUAAAUAGGCAGAGCCAGAACACCAAAGAAAUAUCUGGAUACAACUGUAGAGAUAAAAGUAGGGCAUCAAAAGCCAGAAAUGUGUCCAGUAACAGUGAGACAUAAUGCUUGUGGGAAGACUGAGAAAGAAGAAAAUAAGUCAAAAAUGGAAUUGUCUUCUAGAGACCACCAGGGUAGAUCAGAGUAAUAAAAUAUCCUGGAUCAACUCAUCCUGGUAUUUAAAACCACAUAGUUCUCUUACCCAUGGGGAAAUUUUAAAUAUACAAACAUCUGUUGUGUAACAAACAUUUAAAUUUGGUUCAUUAAAGUGCAGUUCUACCCUUUAAAGUGAAUAUGUGAGAAUAACAUCUAGGACCUCCAUGUUUGUGGUCUCUCAAAGAUGACUCUAUCAGAUUGUUCCUGUUUACCAGUUAAAAGAUGCUUCUCUAACAUCAGUCCACAAACUUAACCUUAUUUCUUCAAGGUAGUAUGAAUUUUCUGCUUAUUUGGCAUUGCCAUUUGACUUUUCUUCCUAUUAUACCUUUGCGGUCUGAACUGUAGACAUUUCUAAGUAAUCAGAAAGCAGAAAACAUAGAUGUUCAUGAGGCAGAAGGCGAAACAUAAGCAAUUUCUCACUUGGUCUUGCUAUCUUUGAUCCUCUGGCGCUCAUUUUCUCUGUGCCCUUAGCAACUCUGACCAACAUGAGCAAUAGAGAGGACUUGGCUGAAGCAGCCCCUUUGCCUGUUGUCUUGGAGAGAAGCUGCUUUCUUAUCUCCUUCUAGAACUCACAGCCUGAGCCUAAUAGUAUGAAAAGCUGCCAUUAGCAAUGGUUUUGUGGAGAGCAGUUAUACAGUUUGAGGAAGUGAGAUGGUGAACAAUGAAGAAAUCUUAAUUCUAAGCUACAGACUUGAAUUGGAUCUUAAGAAGAAGGUGCUCAGGAGCGAACCAUGAAGAAACAACAAUGUUGACAUAUGAUGAGAGAAAUGAAUUAAAAUCAAGGGGUUUACUCCUGAUUCUACUGUGCAUUCUGCUCAUUAAUGUAAUCGGAUAGCUGGGCCUCCUGUCUGUCAAAGGUAGUAAAAGGCUGAAAAAUGCAGGUGGGAAAUGAUAAGGGAGAUUCAGCAUGGAGAAGCUCACCACAAAACUAGAGCAAGUCUGUGAACUUGGAGGGAACAGGGAAGGAGAGAGAAAGAGAAUAUCUAAAACAGGGCAGCCCUGGUUUAGGGUGGAGCAAAGUCACUUUCUGCAAGAACUUAACACUCUUGUAAGCAUAUAGUUGCUACUAGUGUAUGUAAAAUUAACAAGUAAAAAAGUGCUAGAAACUAUCUUCAGUUGGGGAUAGGAAGAAGUAGCUAUAGUAUCCAGGUAAAUUCUUUUCCUCUCUAGUUGUUAGACUGGUGCACUCAGCCCUAACAACAUACCUGUGUGUGACUUCUUACCCUCUUGCAGUGUGGUUUCUGUAGCCCUGUUCCCAAUGAGAACAGUGGUUUCUGCUGGAAUGAGUGUUACAUGUGGCUUCAGGAAACACUCGUCCCCAGAGGUUAUGACAAGACCAUAUCUUACGUCUGCUGAUACAUUUCUGAAAUGUGUUAAUACAAUAAACAUGGUAUUAACAAAUCACUAUCAUUAAAUCCUAAUUUAACAACAUAAGCUUGUCCUACAAAGAAUCAUAUAUUCCACAGAGAAUGAGAAUUCUACCUGCACCUUGUACCAUCUUUGUUCAUCAAGUACAGCUCUCUUUACGACUCCAUUUCAAAAAGCUGCAGUCCUUCUACCAUACAUCUGAAGAACUUUUGAGAGAAGAGAACCCUGAGGAAAAAUUAUGAGGUACUGCGGGGAGAAAUCCCAUCAGAGUUCCAGACCCGAGCGGACGGAGGAAGAAAUGCAGCUGACUCAAUAUGAGUGAUAAAGCAUACUUCAACUUUAUUGCCCGAGAUAGCGUGCAUUUAUACCAAAUACCAUAAUUAUGCAUACUUGUCUCUAUCUAAUAGGCUAAGCACAUUUACUUACUCCACCUACUUGGGUUUAGCUAGCUAUGUGCAUCCCACAUUCUUCUGACUCUUAUCUCUUCAAAAAUAUCCUGACCCUGCCUUAGUUAGUACUUUUCCGUUCCCCCCUUUCCCACGGCCUAAUAGACAAGCUAACUAAGGCCUACUUAUGUCAACUAAAAUGGGCUCUGCUCGUACAGUUGCUUGGUGGACUCAUGUCUGUGCUCCUUGAGCCAAUCCCCGACAAGGUACUCAUUUAUAGUCAUAUCUAUCAGAAUUCUGUUUCAUGUUAAAUAUCACUUAUGAAGAAGACACCAUGUAAAAUUGAGUUAAUGCCCACUUGAAGUUGAUAUUAAAAAACCUGAACACUUUUUCAUACAAGAAUUACCCUCCUUUUUUUACCAGACUUGGCAUUUUUCGUAGUGACAAUAUGCUUUAUUGUGCACAUUCUCCAUACUCUACUCCUUAACCAUGAGCAUUUCAUCCUGUUUCUCUGAAUCUGCAAACAAAAUGUGGUAUCACAGGCUUCAGCAAGAAGAGGAGCCAGGAGCCCAAUGUGGCAAACACAGAGGCAGUGUCCUGACCAACAAGGGUGCUGUCCUGCAGGGCCUGGACAUGGAAGCAGAGCAGAUCUCGUGAUGAUAACAUCUCCGGCCAAGAGUCCAGACUGCCAGACAAGUCCACAGUAACGUGACAGGCCUGAGGUCAAGCAAGCAGGUCAGGUCAGCAACAGGUCAGCCUGAGUUUGGAUGCAGUAGAAUCAUAGAAUAGAAUCAUAGAAUCAUUUCAGUUGGAAGAGACCCUCAGAAUCAGUGAAUCCAACCAUAACCUAACCUAACUCUAGCACUAAACCCUAAGAACCUCGUCUAAAUGCCUUUUAAACACCUCCAGGGAUGGUGACUCCACCACUUCCUUGGGCAGCCUGUUCCAAGGCCUGACAACCCUUUCUGUGAAUAAUUUUUUCCUAAUAUCCAAUCUAAACCUCCCCUGGCACAACUUGAGGCCAUUUCCUCUUGUUCUAUCAUUUGCCAAAGUAGUCAGGGUCAGAUACAGUCUGGUGGAUGUAGUGAUGAGGCAGGUCCAUGCUCAAGCUGGGAUGUCAACUCAGGGGUAGAGGGUUGAGGUGUAGAUUACCAGGGCACAGCGGCCAGCACUGGGCACAGCUGUGAAAUCUGACCAAGGGUAAGACCCUCGUAUUAAAAGCUUCUGCACAGAGAAACAGGGAGAACAGCUGCUGAGGCUUCUUAGUGGUCUCAAAGAAGUCUUCUCAAGGUUCAACACCUGCCUAAACUGGCCCUGAUCCGAGACUGCCAAACCCCCACAGAACUGAAGCCAGCAUUGCUCAACACAUGGUCUGGGGGCCAGCACUGGUUUGGGAGGCGUGCAAAGGUGGUCCCAAAAGUGGUUGCUGGAUUCUGAUCAUGCUUAGUGCCUGGGGAAAGGAUCUGCCACAUUGUUUGCAAUAUUAGUUAUAGUUUGCAUGUUUGCAAUUAGGACAUAAUACAGAUUUGGAAAUUAAUCCAUUCUAAUUUAGGGACCUAAAAAUUAGAUGGUUAAAUCAGACAGUAAAUCACUUCACAAAGCUGAAUGUGUCUUUAAAGGAAGUCACAAUGACUUACAUUUUGGUGAUAUGCAUUACCCAAUUUAACAAGCUUUAACAGGAUUUUUGUUUUGCAAUUGCUCAUAUUUUGUCAAUUAAAAGUUGCAGUGCUCUUGGUUCAUCUGAAUUCAUUCUCUUUCACACCCAUUACCAAAACUGUCUGCUAGUGCAUGGAGGAAAAAAAACCAUGUUUAUUAUGUACAAAGAAGUUGGCAUUGUUUGUACAAAAGUUCACUCACCAUUCCUGCUGAAAACAAUGUUUGAAUUCUAUGUUAUUUCUCAUGAAAAAACUCCACAGUGUUCACAAAAGAAACUCCCGUUUAAACUGAAAUCAACUGACUUUUAAAAACAAUCUCUUCUUGCACUUUUUCCUUAGAUGUGAUCAUACCUUAUGAAUGUGUAGAGUCAUAUUUCAACUUGAAUUUAUAUGAUAGAUAUUAAUUAAUAAAUGCUGUUUCACCUGCCUCUUUACAGUUAAUAACUCUGCUUCAGACAUGUAAGGGCUUUUAUGCAUCAAUAUUUCCCACAUUUUAUAGCUCCACAUAGUCCCUCAAAAAGAUUAUCAUUGCUAAAGGCCAAUCAAAAUAAAUGGUGCCAGAUGUUCUGAAAGCUCUGCGCUUAUCUCAUCAAAAUGGGUAAAUUCCUGACACACUCUUCUCACACUCCUUAUUAAUGUACAGUCCUUUGUCAAUGUACCGUUUGGGACUGAGUUUUUGUAUCUGGCCCUUCAUAAACAUUUUGUGCCUCAUUCACACAAAGAAAAGUUGAGAAGGAUUUGAUUUGCCUGUUGAAUAAGAAGUUUGGAUUUCAGAAAAAUGGGGGUACCUUGCUUAGGUGAGUGAUAAAAGAGCAACAAUAUGCUUUAUCUAUAGUGAAUGCAGGCUAUUUUAACCCAUUAAAGAUAAUGCC
Long non-coding RNA from Columba livia (rock pigeon), 4811 nucleotides. RefSeq lists it as uncharacterized. The transcript has 4 exons. The record is from RefSeq and is a predicted model, not a curated record. Lineage: Eukaryota; Metazoa; Chordata; Aves; Columbiformes; Columbidae.